ACCGGAUAGGACGAAAGUUUAAAGAUGCUCCUGGCAUCACUGAUGGAUGAGCCUGCGGCGCAUUAGCUAGUUGGUGGGGUAAAGGCCUACCAAGGCGACGAUGCGUAGCCGACCUGAGAGGGUGAACGGCCACACUGGGACUGAGACACGGCCCAGACUCCUACGGGAGGCAGCAGUAGGGAAUCUUCGGCAAUGGGCGAAAGCCUGACCGAGCAACGCCGCGUGAAUGAAGAAGGCCUUCGGGUUGUAAAAUUCUGUUAUAAGGGAAGAAAGGUGAUAGGAGGAAAUGACUAUCAAUUGACGGUACCUUAUGAGAAAGCCACGGCUAACUACGUGCCAGCAGCCGCGGUAAUACGUAGGUGGCAAGCGUUAUCCGGAAUUAUUGGGCGUAAAGAGCGCGCAGGUGGUUAAUUAAGUCUGAUGUGAAAGCCCACGGCUUAACCGUGGAGGGUCAUUGGAAACUGGUUGACUUGAGUGCAGAAGAGGGAAGUGGAAUUCCAUGUGUAGCGGUGAAAUGCGUAGAGAUAUGGAGGAACACCAGUGGCGAAGGCGGCUUCCUGGUCUGCAACUGACACUGAGGCGCGAAAGCGUGGGGAGCAAAAGGGAUUAGAUACCCUGGUAGUCCACGCCGUAAACGAUGAGUGCUAAGUGUUGGGGGUCGAACCUCAGUGCUGAAGUUAACGCAUUAAGCACUCCGCCUGGGGAGUACGGUCGCAAGACUGAAACUCAAAGGAAUUGACGGGGACCCGCACAAGCGGUGGAGCAUGUGGUUUAAUUCGAAGCAACGCGAAGAACCUUACCAGGUCUUGACAUACCGUUGACGCCUCUAGAGAUAGAGGGUUUCCUUCGGGGACAAUGGAUACAGGUGGUGCAUGGUUGUCGUCAGCUCGUGUCGUGAGAUGUUGGGUUAAGUCCCGCAACGAGCGCAACCCUUACCCCCAGUAGCCAGCGGAAGAGCCGGGCACUCUGGGGGGACUGCCGGGGAUAACCCGGAGGAAGGUGGGGAUGACGUCAAAUCAUCAUGCCCCUUAUGGGCUGGGCUACACACGUGCUACAAUGGCGUAAACAAAGGGAGGCGAGCCUGCGAGGGUAAGCGGACCCCAAAAAUAACGUCCCAGUUCGGACUGCAGCCUGCAACCCGGCUGCACGAAGCUGGAAUCGCUAGUAAUCGCGGAUCAGAAUGCCGCGGUGAAUACGUUCCCGGGUCUUGUACACACCGCCCGUCACACCAUGGGAGCCGGGAAUGCCCGAAGUCUGUGGCCCAAGGGAAAGGGGGGAGCAGCCGAAGG
Molecule: ribosomal RNA, 1289 nt
Filed under: uncultured bacterium
Lineage: Bacteria
Description: bacterial SSU rRNA
Rfam family: Bacterial small subunit ribosomal RNA
Source: RNAcentral